This is a long non-coding RNA of Alligator mississippiensis (American alligator), 1392 nucleotides long. RefSeq lists it as uncharacterized. The record is from RefSeq and is a predicted model, not a curated record. NCBI's taxonomy places the organism in Eukaryota, Metazoa, Chordata, Crocodylia, Alligatoridae. The transcript has 4 exons.
AACAACUGACGGCCAGCAGUGUUUUUGUCAGAUUCUGACAAGUGAAUCAAUAAAAAGACACAGCAAAGGUUCAAUCAGAACAGACACCACUAAUACGACUGGCCUUUUGGGACCCACGGAAGCGUGGAACUGCUUUUCCAUGUUAAUUUCUCUUCGCUACCCUUGGGGUUAUCACCUUCUUUGGCCUCUGUUAAUUAAAAACUGCCUCCUGUUAAAGUUCCUUGGCAGACAUUUUCCUCAUGUCAACCCAUUUUGCUGGCUGAUGAGAAAGGAAACGAGAGGAAUGAGAAUUCUGAACCAGCGACGUGAAGCGCUGCCAAAACCCCGUCUCAUCACCUCCAAUCUCCGCUCAGCUCGUCUUUUCCUGAGAAAUUUGCCACACUCUUUCAGUGGUGAGGACUGCAUAAGCUCAGCAUCCAAGAGACUGGAGAGUUGAACAUAAUUUGGCUUUUGGUAUUGACAUUGGUGCUCAGUUUCUACAUGCUACAGAGAUUAAACAGACAGUUAUGAACUGUUGCCUUAUUCCAUGCAGAGGAUAGAUCGACUCUGAGGAGGAACGAGGGCUGUGUUGUGAAAGUAGUUCUUGUCUGGAAGACCCCUGCCUCUUUAGUUGCACAAGAUGAAAAAUGCACAGUGAACAAAACAGAUUAUUGCAGGAGGAGACAUGGUUUUCAUGGUUAAAACAACUAAAUGCUGACCUAGAGAACUGGUUUGCAUUCAUGCCUUACCAGUAGACUUCUGAGGUGAUGCUAAGCAAACUACUUAACCUAAAUUUUCGGCAGGCAGGCAGUAAUUAUGUGCUCUGUGUUUUCUGCCUGACUGCCUGCCUUGUGACCCUGGAAUCUGAUUUGCAGAAGUACUGAGAACUCAUGGCUGUGGCUGAAGUCAAUGGCAACUGUGCUUUGAACACAUGAACAGCUAUAUAAUGCUAAGUGUUCUGGAAAAAUCAGGAGGCCUUAAGGCUUCUUGAAAUGGGCCCACAAAUUAGUAGAUAUUCCUGAUCAUAUUUGCUCUGUGCCUCGGAUUCCCUCUCCAUAGGAUUAAAAUACCCCCAGUCCUCUUACAGGGAUGUUGUGACUAUAAAUUUAUUAAUGUCUGUGAAGCAUUCAGAUACUUUAGUGAUGAGUGCCAUACAAAAGCCCAGGAGAAAACUGACAAUUCUGUCUUUGGAGAGGAGUUUGAAUAGUGUUCAUUAAAGACAGCCUAAGGCCUGACUGAACAAGGAGAAAAGGAAGUAUUGAAUAGUUGUGUAUUAAGUGAGGAUGGCCUGUGAUUGUAGGAGGCAACCUUCCUAGGUUACAAAAAUACUAUAUGAUAAAGUAAUUAAAAUGCUAUCUUUGUGAAUACACCCAACAUAAUUAAAGUUGUACAGGCAACCUUCAUUCUGGCAAA